CCUACGGGCGGCAGCAGUGAGGAAUAUUGGUCAAUGGACGAGAGUCUGAACCAGCCAAGUAGCGUGAAGGAUGACUGCCCUAUGGGUUGUAAACUUCUUUUAUAUGGGAAUAAAAUGUUCCACGUGUGGGAUUUUGUAUGUACCAUAUGAAUAAGGAUCGGCUAACUCCGUGCCAGCAGCCGCGGUAAUACGGAGGAUCCGAGCGUUAUCCGGAUUUAUUGGGUUUAAAGGGAGCGUAGGUGGAUUGUUAAGUCAGUUGUGAAAGUUUGCGGCUCAACCGUAAAAUUGCAGUUGAAACUGGCAGUCUUGAGGACAGUAGAGGUGGGCGGAAUUCGUGGUGUAGCGGUGAAAUGCUUAGAUAUCACGAAGAACUCCGAUUGCGAAGGCAGUUCACUGGACUGCAACUGACACUGAGGCUCGAAAGUGUGGGUAUCAAACAGGAUUAGAUACCCCAGUAGU
Molecule: ribosomal RNA, 459 nt
Filed under: uncultured bacterium
Lineage: Bacteria
Description: partial 16S ribosomal RNA
Rfam family: Bacterial small subunit ribosomal RNA
Source: RNAcentral